RNAcentral lists this ribosomal RNA (252 nucleotides) under uncultured bacterium. RNAcentral describes it as "partial 16S ribosomal RNA". It matches the Rfam family "Bacterial small subunit ribosomal RNA", at positions 524 to 775 of the family's 1533-position model. The record is from RNAcentral.
UACAGAGACUGCGAGCGUUAUUCGGAUUCACUGGGCGUAAAGGGUGCGCAGGCGGCCGUGUGUGUGAGGCGUGAAAGCCCGGGGCUUAACCCCGGAAUUGCACCUCAAACUACACGGCUAGAGCAUUGGAGAGGGUAGCGGAAUUCACGGUGUAGCAGUGAAAUGCGUAGAUAUCGUGAGGAACACCAGAGGCGAAGGCGGCUACCUGGACAAUUGCUGACGCUCAGGCACGAAAGCGUGGGGAGCAAAAGG